RNAcentral lists this ribosomal RNA (666 nucleotides) under uncultured Clostridium sp. Its description in RNAcentral is "bacterial SSU rRNA". It matches the Rfam family "Bacterial small subunit ribosomal RNA", at positions 28 to 722 of the family's 1533-position model. Lineage: Bacteria; Bacillati; Bacillota; Clostridia; Eubacteriales; Clostridiaceae. The record is from RNAcentral.
GAUGAACGCUGGCGGCGUGCCUAACACAUGCAAGUCGAGCGAUCUUCUCCGGAAGAGAGCGGCGGACGGGUGAGUAACGCGUGGGUAACCUGCCUCAUACACAUGGAUAACAUACCGAAAGGUAUGCUAAUACAAGAUGAUAUAAGAGAUUCGCAUGGAUUUCUUAUCAAAGCUCCGGCGGUAUGAGAUGGACCCGCGUCUGAUUAGCUAGUUGGUAAGGUAACAGCUUACCAAGGCGACGAUCAGUAGCCGACCUGAGAGGGUGAUCGGCCACAUUGGAACUGAGACACGGUCCAAACUCCUACGGGAGGCAGCAGUGGGGAAUAUUGCACAAUGGGCGAAAGCCUGAUGCAGCAACGCCGCGUGAGCGAUGAAGGCCUUCGGGUCGUAAAGCUCUGUCCUCAAGGAAGAUAAUGACGGUACUUGAGGAGGAAGCCCCGGCUAACUACGUGCCAGCAGCCGCGGUAAUACGUAGGGGGCUAGCGUUAUCCGGAUUUACUGGGCGUAAAGGGUGCGUAGGUGGUUUCUUAAGUCAGGAGUGAAAGGCUACGGCUCAACCGUAGUAAGCUCUUGAAACUGGGAAACUUGAGUGCAGGAGAGGAAAGUGGAAUUCCUAGUGUAGCGGUGAAAUGCGUAGAUAUUAGGAGGAACACCAGUAGCGAAGGC